Molecule: long non-coding RNA, 1158 nt
Organism: Tympanuchus pallidicinctus (lesser prairie-chicken)
Lineage: Eukaryota; Metazoa; Chordata; Aves; Galliformes; Phasianidae
Exons: 3
Source: RefSeq, a predicted model, not a curated record
CCAUACUGGCAGGUGCCAGGUUCACCCACUGAGGAUGUCGAAUCCUGAAUUAUUUUCACAACGGUCUUUAAUUGCGAAGAAAGUAAGCAACACACAUUUCUCACUGGAGAGCCAUAAGCUGUCCCCACUAGUUUGGCAAAUAGCACUCACUCCGGUCUUAAGAUCACACCGGUAAUCUCAACUUUGCCGUCCAGGCUGCACACACAGCUUUUCAGCAUCUUGCUGUAUCAGUAUUGAAAUCUGUGCGCUGUAUCAGUACUGAAAUUUGUGCUCCCCUAUCUAUUAGAAAUUUUACCGAAUGCCUUUGAGGACAGACUUGAAUCAAAAUAUUUGUGCCACUGUUGCUCAUCCUGUGAUAAAACUCCCCUUGCCGGACAGGCAGAUCCAAUCACCUGCUCGUUAUUAGUCUUUUUUUUUGUUGUUUACAGUCUGAAGCGGUGAUUGAGCACCUGGUGAGGGGUGUGGCCAGCCCUGCCAGCACAGGUGGAAGCAAUUUACCUGUGGGACCGGAUAGGGCUGAGCUUGGCUCCACCCCCUCCCUGCCCAUAUUUAAGGGCUGGGAACAGCCAGGGCAGCAUUCAGCUUGAGAUCUGCCUCCAUGGGAGCAUUGGGAGCCAGUUCUGCUCAUUGGAAUGAGGUGAGUGACUGAUGCUUUGUUGUAGGGCUCUGAUCUUUUGCUUUUUAGGGAUCCUGGCAACUUUUAAGGGCUGGAAGCUGUGAGGGCAGCAUCUCUGCAUGGAGGCUGCUUCCUCUGGGGUGUGGGCUGAGUGUUUGUUUUUGGAAUGGGGUCAUUGAUUUUUUCUUUAUUGCUGGAUUGUAAUUUCACUUUUUGUGGGCUCCUGACCACAUUUAAGGGCUGGGAACAGCCAGGGCAGCAUUCUGCUUGGGAACUGCCUCCAUGGGAGCAUUGGGAGCGAGUUCUGCUCGUUAGAAUGGGGGCUGUGAUUUUUCCUGUUUUUGGGGCAUCCUGACCACAUUUGAGUGCUGGCAGAUGUAAGGGCAGCAUUGAUCUCUGGAGGCUGUCUCCUGUGGAGCAUGGGGCUGUUAUGCACUGCUUCCAACCGUGCAGAGUUGUUUAAGGGCAUUCUGUGCACCCUUAGGUGUAAUAAGUCUUCAUCUUUAUAGGAAGCCAAGGUUUGUCCUCUUCUGGACCGCUGU